This 164-nucleotide ribosomal RNA is filed under the name uncultured bacterium. Its description in RNAcentral is "partial 16S rRNA". It matches the Rfam family "Bacterial small subunit ribosomal RNA", at positions 355 to 511 of the family's 1533-position model. The record is from RNAcentral.
UAGGGAAUCUUCCACAAUGGACGCAAGUCUGAUGGAGCAACGCCGCGUGAGUGAAGAAGGUCCUCGGAUCGUAAAACUCUGUUGUUAGAGAAGAACACGAGUGAGAGUAACUGUUCAUUCGAUGACGGUAUCUAACCAGCAAGUCACGGCUAACUACGCGCCAG